This is a non-coding RNA of Saimiri boliviensis boliviensis (Bolivian squirrel monkey), 1303 nucleotides long. The record is from RefSeq and is a predicted model, not a curated record. NCBI's taxonomy places the organism in Eukaryota, Metazoa, Chordata, Mammalia, Primates, Cebidae.
GGUGGCAGAGUCCAGACAACAGGGUCUGCUCCAUGCCUGGUCCCUGGAGGGGCCCUCACCCUGUCUGUUUUCACCCAACCCAACUGACAUGAAGUAGGAGGCAGGAAUCAUGCAGGCAGGGAGCUCAGGGAGCCCGUUCGAGAUUGCUUUGAAUGGAAGGACCCCUGCCAUGCUCCUGGGGAUUGAGCCUGAAACCUGGAUGCUCUGGAGCCCCUUGGAUCUGUCAUCUGUCCCCAACACCCCCGAGGCAAGCCUUGCCACUGGGCCCUGGGAAGCUCAGAGUAGUUGAGUCAGGGCAGUGGGACAUGACCCAGGUCGGAUGUGGCUUUUGCCUAAUUAUACACCAAUGCUCAAGAGAAAAUGAGGGAUUUUCAUAUCCAGGAAGAUCCUCUGCCUCCAUGCCAGGCCCACUGCCCACCACAAGGGAGCAAGAACCAGGGCAUAGGCAGGUAAAAGAGCAGGUGGAACCGCUGAGCUCCUGUCCUGGGUCCCUAAGGUGGUCCCAGUUUGUGGAGGAUUAUGUGUCCUCAAAGCUCAGUAGCCCACUUUCCAAAUAAGCCACCAGACUCCUCCCAAGACCCUAAAACUGAGGCUCAGAGAGCAGAAGCAGCUUGCCCAAAGUCACACAACUGGUAGUUGUUAAAGGAGCUGGUCUUGAACUCAGGGAUAUCUUGAAAGCCACUGUUGCUUCUACAAACUCAGCCAUUCAAAAGACCCCUCACCUUCAAUAAGACCCCAGCUGAUCCUCAGGGUCCAACUGCUCCCCUGAAAACAGGUCCCAGAUAUAUCUGCCAAAGGUAUGAUUAGGUGCCUAAACACAUACCAUGAGAAAGGGACUCCAUGUCUUCUAAUCCUGCCCAGAGAUGCAGAGACAUCACCAACCAGGGAGAGAGGGCCAGAAACUAAAAUAAGGUGUUAGAGACAGGCUGGCUGAUGGUGACAGAUACAGCCACAACAAGACAGGCCCAAAGAGAGGGAGACUGAGGGGAAGCCAGAGACAGCGAAGGACACAUUAGGCCAAAGAAUGAGAGAGACAGCUGGAAAAGGAGACAACAGGAGUAGAGGAGGGUACAGGCUGACAUGAAAAAACACAGAUACACUCCAGUAUGCAGACACACAUAGACCCAUUUGACCUUCACAAGAAACAAACUGAAAGCAAGCAAGGCUCAGGCUGUAUGGUGUGUGUAUGCGUGUGUGCGUGUUGUGGGGGAAGCAUGCAGAGUCUGUAUCGCUACGCACAUUACACCAGCUGCUUCCAGCAAUUUCAUCUGAUUAAUAAUAAAUGCCCCAUAAUUACAGCCGC